UACGUAGGGUGCAAGCGUUAAUCGGAAUUACUGGGCGUAAAGCGUGCGCAGGCGGUUUUGUAAGACAGUUGUGAAAUCCCCGGGCUCAACCUGGGAACUGCAUCUGUGACUGCAAAGCUGGAGUACGGGAGAGGGGGAUGGAAUUCCGCGUGUAGCAGUGAAAUGCGUAGAUAUGCGGAGGAACACCGAUGGCGAAGGCAAUCCCCUGGGCCUGUACUGACGCUCAUGCACGAAAGCGUGGGGAGCAAACAGG
RNAcentral lists this ribosomal RNA (253 nucleotides) under uncultured bacterium. RNAcentral describes it as "partial 16S ribosomal RNA". It matches the Rfam family "Bacterial small subunit ribosomal RNA", at positions 524 to 776 of the family's 1533-position model. The record is from RNAcentral.